CGCGAGCCUCAUAGCGCGGGUGGAUAACCGAACGCGCUUUCCGUACGAUAAUAACAAAGAGAUAUUUUGCAAGUAUCCAAUUACUGUGACCGAUGAUUCGAUUGAGUACUUGUUUACGAUAAGCUAUUAAGUUAUUAACAAAGUAAUGAUAAAGACUUCCUAAAGGAAGAGACAAAAUCACUAUGUUGCCGCUGAUGAUGAUAGGGCUGUUGCCCCUUGUAUGGGGUGCGCCAGAACCUUGCGAGCGAGCACCGGCGCACGCGCAACCCGCUGAUGCACAUUACAAACUAGGAGUGGCUGGAGAUCCUGAUUUAUAUCUACCGGGUGAACUUUAUUCAGUAUCAUUACAAGGAGUAGACGGUGGACAAGGACCCACACCGUUUAUAGGUUUUAUCAUUUGGGCGGAAUUAGAUCAUGGUUUUAAUUCAAGUGCCAAUACUACUAAUGUAACCUUCAGCAAUGAGUCUCCAGGUACCUUUCAGGCGUAUGAUGCCCAAACAAAGCCCCAUGAAUCGUGUUCGCCCGCGGUGGAUAAUGCCACUGCACACCCAAAGACUGAAAUACAGGUAAUAUGGAAUGCGCCAUCCGGUUCAAUUCAGACGUGCGUACGUCUAUGCGCACGUGCGUUCCACCCUGAUACGGGCGCGGUAUCUUCCCUCGUACGCAAACUUUGCCCCGCUCCCGUUCUACCGGCCACUCCGGAUCGACAGCCCCCCAUUGUGGAGCCCUGCUGCGCUUGUGAUGAAGCUAAGUAUGAGGUAACAUUCGAAGGACUGUGGUCCCGUAACACGCAUCCAAAGGAAUUCCCACCUGAAUCAGCAAGAGCGCAUUUCGGAGAUGUGAUUGGGGCGUCCCAUACUGCUCAAUUCAGGGUGUGGCAAGAGGGUCGAGUGGCCACCGCGGGACUGAGGCGGUUGGCUGAUGAUGGGACCACUACUUCUUUGGAGAAAGAGUUGAAAUCGGAGAGCGAACACAUACGCACUAUAAUCAAAGCUCGCGGCAUAUCCUGGCAACAAGUGGCCGGUACUGGGAUACCUAGUACUUUUGCAGUAUUCAGAGUGGACGCUAAGCACCAUCUAGUAUCGUUGGCGUCUAAGCUAGCUCCUUCACCUGACUGGAUUGUUGGUGUGUCUGCGUUGGAGCUGUGCAAUUUGAAUUGCACUUGGAGACGAUCAGCAGUAUUACCUCUGUACCCUUAUGACGCAGGAACGGAUAGUGGCAUUAGUUAUACAUCAAGACGCAGCCCAACAUUGCCUCCGGCGCCAGUCCGCGCGCUCCGCCCGGAGUGGCCGCGUGAUGUUCGCUCGCCGUUCUACAGCUCUACGGGCGAGAUGCGCCCCUUUGCACGCCUGCGACUUAACCGACUGCGCUUGUAUGAGAAGUCUUGUGAUGUUGCUGAACCUGGCAGUGAGCAAUCUCCCGAGGGUGUGAUCCGCAGUGGUGGGGGCUCCUGUGCCACUCACGCAUGGGGCCCCUGGGGCCCAUGUAGCGUCACGUGUGGUGAAGGCCACGCGGCCCGCCAGCGCCACUAUCUAUGGCCGGCGAGGGCAAAGGCCGACGCUUGUAGGACUCCACUUACUGACUAUAAACGAUGCCAAGGACCCAGGAUGCAUUGCAGAGUUCAAUCGGAGUACGAGCCGGAUCCCGCGGAGUCGUCGGGCCCGUGCGCGGUGUCGGCGUGGUCAGAGUGGUCGCGGUGCGCGGGCUGCGGCGUGCGCGCCCGCACGCGCCACUACCUCGCGCCGCGCGCGCUCAAGCGCUGCCACGUGGGCUUCCGCGCCAGGCUCGUGCUGAGCCAGGCCAUGCCGUGCGAGGCCGGCCCGUGCUUCAAGCCACCGGGACAAUUUGCAAAUGCAUCUAACUACGAUUGGUUCUUUGUGGAUAACCCUCGGGGCGAAUGUGCGGUAUCACCCUGGGGGCCGUGGUCACCGUGUUCCGCGAAGUGUGGGCGCGGUCGCCGGAUCCGGACAAGGUUAUACAUAUCGAAAGAUCCAAGGGUCCAGAAACUGCUUACGAGACGAUUGCUCAGCGACUGGAACCAACGCUUCGCGGAGUUCCAAAACUUGACAUUCCCUGCUGAGAACAUAACGAGUGACAAUCCGAACGUAGAUCUCCUAGUUCAGGAACAUCUAGACCGAUGUCAGUUUACGCUGACUCAGCAAGAGGCUCUUUGCGAUGGUGACGACAGCUCUUGUGAUGCUGGAGUUCCGUUUGAAAUAUGCAAAUUGCCAAUGUCAGUGGGGCCAUGCCGUAGCUACGAAGAGCGUUGGUUCUUCGACUCGACGCGUGGGGCUUGCGAGCCUUUUGGGUACACGGGUUGUGGCGGGAACUCUAAUAACUUUCGCGAUAGGCAGACCUGUGAGAAAGCCUGUGUUGGAAGGAAUGAUACUGGAACAGUUAUUCCCCCAGUAAUGGAGGCGAGCACUAAAAAGCUCAAAGCGACUCCGCCUGCGGUCGACAAUGAGGUGAUACAAAACGAUGCUCCACCGGUUGAUGGUGGUCAGAAGACCUGAAUUGCGAGAUGGGCCCGUGGCUCGGCUGGUCCGAGUGUUUUGGCGAAUGCGAUAUUGCAGUUAAACUUAACUUCAGGCUCGUUAAGCGUCCCGCCUCCGGAUUAGGAAACCCUUGUCAGAAAGUAGUGAAAAGUCGUUCUU
This 2654-nucleotide unclassified non-coding RNA is filed under the name Zerene cesonia (dogface butterfly). Its description in RNAcentral is "spondin-1-like, transcript variant X3". The record is from RNAcentral. Lineage: Eukaryota; Metazoa; Arthropoda; Insecta; Lepidoptera; Pieridae.